Non-coding RNA from Cajanus cajan (pigeon pea), 1333 nucleotides. The record is from RefSeq and is a predicted model, not a curated record. NCBI's taxonomy places the organism in Eukaryota, Viridiplantae, Streptophyta, Magnoliopsida, Fabales, Fabaceae.
UGAGGAGGAAGAUGUUAUCUGCCCUUGCUACCAGGUGGAGAGACUUCAAGACUUUCUUGACACAGGAGUAUGUAUUUGGAGAGCGACAAAAUGAGACUCCUUGUCUAAAGUACCAGAUUACUGAUGAGGAGUGGAUACAAUUUCGUGCCACUCGAUUGGACUCUUCUUGGCAAGCCAAAAGAGUAGCUACCCAAGAACGACAGAGCAAGAAUGAUGCAUCCCAUCUAUUGUCAAGAGGGGGAUAUGAAUUAAAAAAAAAUUGAUGAAGGUUAGGAUAGAGGCAUCAGGGGUUGAGUCUAUUGACCAUGUGGAUUCACCUCCCCGCUAUGAGAUGUGGAUAGCAGCUCGAACAAAAUCAAAUGGGCAAAUGACUUCUGAGUUUGCAAGGGUCGUUGCUGAUAAAAUAGAGGGUUUAGUUGAGCAGACCACCCAUGGCUCAUUUUUUCCCCAUGGUCGGGAUGAUAUACUCACAACGGCCAUAGGAAGGCCAGAGCACGCAGGGCGUGUGCGUGGUAUUGGUGGUUCUUGGAGUCACCGAGAUUACUUUGAUGCACCACCAUCGAGGAGCAAUACUGUUGACUCUUGCAGUUUGAAGAGAAAUUGAAGAACAUUCGAGAAGAGUUUGAACAGAAUUUUGAGUUUUUGGAUCGUUCUCAGCAACAGACUACAGUUGCUCAUGAUGGUGUUCGAGUCAGCACUAAAGGGAGUUGUGCUGCUCUAGAUCCCUCAGGGGAACAGACUCACACUGAUGUACCAAACCAGUGUGAGUUAUAUGUUGAGGAUGAACCCCCACGGUUAGUGGCUAUUGGUUGAGUAUUUGAGGGUGGCUCAACCAUCCAUGGUGUCCCUCUAGAGCCAGACUGGACACGGGUUGUGGUUGACCAAGUUCAAGAUGCUGCUGCUCCAGUGCCUUUGCCCAAUACAGAAGUUCAACUAGUGGGGCAGGCAACCGACACAUUCUUAGCUUAACCAAAACGUUUGGUGAUGCCGCUUUCAUCACGGGCAAAGGAUUUUAUCAAUCGUGGUAAGGAGGUCAUGAGAGAACCUGUUGUUGAUGAUGUUGAUAUCGCAGAAGCUGAGGAUCAUCCCAUAUAUAGGCUUCUAACCAUAUUACCACGAUUGAAGAAGAAACCAAUUCAAUUGCAGUGGGACAUUAGAGUUUUUGGAGUUGAUAGUUCUAAUGUUCCAUUAUACAUAUCCCUGCCCGACACAUUAGAGAUUGUUGGGGGAAACUCCAUGUUAAAUAUAUCUAUCAUACAACUGUGGGCCAUGUACAUAGAUAAAUUGAGUGUGGAGCAAGCACAAGCACAAAUAUAUGGAUUUAUUGAGCCUC